RNAcentral lists this ribosomal RNA (253 nucleotides) under uncultured bacterium. RNAcentral describes it as "partial 16S ribosomal RNA". It matches the Rfam family "Bacterial small subunit ribosomal RNA", at positions 524 to 776 of the family's 1533-position model. The record is from RNAcentral.
UACGAAGGGGGCUAGCGUUGCUCGGAAUUACUGGGCGUAAAGGGUGCGUAGGCGGAUAGUUUAGUCAGAGGUGAAAGCCCAGGGCUCAACCUUGGAAUUGCCUUUGAUACUGGCUAUCUUGAGUACGGAAGAGGUAUGUGGAACUCCGAGUGUAGAGGUGAAAUUCGUAGAUAUUCGGAAGAACACCAGUGGCGAAGGCGACAUACUGGUCCGUUACUGACGCUGAGGCUCGAAAGCGUGGGGAGCAAACAGG